UGAGGAAUAUUGGACAAUGGGUGGAAGCCUGAUCCAGCCAUCCCGCGUGAAGGAUGACGGUUCUAUGGAUUGUAAACUUCUUUUGUACAGGGAUAAACCUGCCCUCGUGAGGGCAGCUGAAGGUACUGUACGAAUAAGCACCGGCUAACUCCGUGCCAGCAGCCGCGGUAAUACGGAGGGUGCGAGCGUUAUCCGGAUUUAUUGGGUUUAAAGGGUCCGUAGGCGGGCCUGUAAGUCAGUGGUGAAAUCUCAUAGCUUAACUAUGAAACUGCCAUUGAUACUGCAUGCCUUGAGUAAAUUUGAAGUGGCUAGAAUAAGUAGUGUAGCGGUGAAAUGCAUAGAUAUUACUUAGAACACCGAUUGCGAAGGCAGGUCACUAAGAUUUAACUGACGCUGAUGGACGAAAGCGUGGGGAGCGAACA
Molecule: ribosomal RNA, 422 nt
Filed under: uncultured bacterium
Lineage: Bacteria
Description: bacterial SSU rRNA
Rfam family: Bacterial small subunit ribosomal RNA
Source: RNAcentral